Long non-coding RNA from Xenopus laevis (African clawed frog), 1224 nucleotides. RefSeq lists it as uncharacterized. NCBI's taxonomy places the organism in Eukaryota, Metazoa, Chordata, Amphibia, Anura, Pipidae. The transcript has 2 exons. The record is from RefSeq and is a predicted model, not a curated record.
GAUGUGAUGUGGGGAUGGAUCUGUGAGAGGACUUUAAUCUCUGAGCGUCAUUAAAUUCUCCAUGAGGAACCUCUGGGAGGAAGCAGGGAGGGAGUGGAGGGGGAUCAGCACCUCCUCUGAGGUAUGAAGAUCCAAAUCACGGAAAGAUCUGUUAUGCUGAAAAUCCCAGGUCCAAGUAUUCUGCAUAACAGGUUCCAUACCUGUACUGUAGGAGAGUCCCAUCGCCAUCUUCUUCUUCCUCUCUAUGACCUGGUCCGGGUGCACAUGUACAGCAGAGGGAAAAGUUGGAUUUUUGAGUUUGGAACCACAGCGCAAAUCCAAGAAGUGAAAGAAGCUUGCAACCUGGUGCUUCUAUAUUAGUACCCUGGGCCGCUGCAGAUUUCAUGGAACAGGAGCACUGAUUCGGUGUCUUAGGCAAGGAUUUAUAAUCACUGGGGGGGGGGAGGUGAUCACUUUUGCCCCCCCCUUCACAGUGAUUAUACUUUUACUUCUCCUUUAAAGAUAUAGCUGUUUUCGCAAAGUACAUUUUUCUUCUUUUUUUGGCUUUUGCAUAUUUACCCUUAGGAUUUCCAUUUUGUUGUUGUUUGUUGUUCAGACAAAUAAGCCUAAUUUCUAGAAAUGGGUGUACCAGAAUGUCGACUAGUUUAAUAUAUUUAUCUACUCUUCUGCUACAUUUAAACCUCUGCUUACAGCUCUGUGUGGGUGUCUGAAAACACACUGCACCCGUUCACAAACACUUUCCUCCGUACAUGCACACAUCUCUGCAGUGAUGCAACCCAAAUAUUCACCCAUCAUAAUGUUAAGCAUGGCACAGCUAAUUAUCUGGACUGGUUUCUUAGCAACCCUUGAGCAUGUUUGACUUUAUCCCAAAAAUAAGACCAAUUUCAUAUUGAUUUGGAGUCUUUUUUUAAUUAACAAAAAAAUCAAAAUUUAGGAACAGUAAUAGAUGCAAUAUUAUAGAUAUUUCCUUUAUAUAUACCCUAGAUAUUUAGAUAUUUGAUGCAUAGAAAGGCAAAUAUUUGAAUUUCCGGCAAAAAUCUAUGAAAUAAACACCAAGUAAGAUGAGUUUAUUUCCAUGGAAACGCCAAGAAUAUUCAUCUUUUCACAUACUGCUACUUCUAUGGCAUGUGGGUUCAGGGUUUGUUUUACAGAAGAGAAGGUCAUUUGUCCUGGGUCCCGAAUGCCACAGGACCAUUUCAAAUAAAACCAAAUUAGAGUACAUUA